RNAcentral lists this long non-coding RNA (1123 nucleotides) under Dromaius novaehollandiae (emu). RNAcentral's name for it is "lncRNA (ENSDNVG00000015247.1)". Lineage: Eukaryota; Metazoa; Chordata; Aves; Casuariiformes; Dromaiidae. The record is from RNAcentral.
GGGCCCGGGUGCGAUCCGGCUCGGAGGAGCGCGGUGUCCUCGAAGGCCCGUCGCGUUUUAUCGCGGAGCUUACAGCUUCUCCUCCAAAGACACGCUGGCGCUGCUCACUGCUUGGAUUUGGUAGCUGAUGAUACGGGACAAAAGAGCGUGUCUUUAAAAAGAAAGACAGAAGAAAAUAAUUCAGCUGCACGUAGUGCAGGCUGUAAGACCUUCUAUAAAAAUCCCUAAGGGCAUGUUUUUAAUCUUAGAAACACGCUGUGUGUAGUAUUCUUGCCCGGACCUCUACUAUUGCAAAYGCUAGCUGGAGCAGCUUUUUGCAAAUGGGAUGAUAAUAAAUUUAUUUUCUGUGUGUUGUGGCAAAAAACAAUUGUUACAAUCCUGUAGCAAUAACAUUAAACAGAGUACACAACCCAUUCUAAUGCUAUCUAUUUGCUCUGCUUUUUGCCUUUGUUGCAUGCUAGACAGUACAGCCAGAGAACAAGAAUGAUAGUGAAGAAGAAGAGACUAUUCCUCUGAUGGACCAAGAAGAGACAUUUCUCCCAGCAGAAGGAGUCACCUUUGGGGCUGCAGAGCUGUCCACUGGUUCUGCAGAAGAAAAAUCUGCUGAGGCUUUCUCAGACAAAGUCAAAGUUGACAGUCGUCCUCCUGAAUUGGGUGACAUGGAACAGCCAAUAAUAGACAGAGGAAACCCUUCCCACACCUCUUCAGGAGCUCUUACGCGGACAUCGGCAUUGUCAGUGCAGGUGGACAGUCAUGCAGAAUCAGGUAUCAAUCAGUUCCUUAUUAGUAGUACAAUACUUGAUACCACCUAUCAGACACAGGAUCUAGUUUUCUCCUAGAUCAUUGUGAAUCCAACUGGAGGCAUAAUACUAUAAAAUCUAAGCCUUACCAUUAACCUCUGGAAGUGCUCAGAGCCAACCUUUAAAUUCCUUACAUAAUAACUUUCCUCCUUAUUGUUAUGGUAACCGUACUUUUAUGAUUUAUAUUCUGAAUGCUAAUAACAUCGUGAGACAAUCUAGGCUGCCAAGGAAAGGAGGCUUUGUUAUGUAUUUCCUUCCAUCAGGACAUCUGUUUAUCUUGGCACAUCCUCUAAUACAUAGAAUUUCCUUUCUGUGACAUCUCC